UUGUUGGUAAGGUAAAGGCUUACCAAGGCUUCGAUCAGUAGCUGGUCUGAGAGGACGGCCAGCCACACUGGGACUGAGACACGGCCCAGACUCCUACGGGAGGCAGCAGUGGGGAAUUUUGGACAAUGGGGGAAACCCUGAUCCAGCCAUGCCGCGUGAGUGAAGAAGGCCUUCGGGUUGUAAAGCUCUUUCAGCCGGAACGAAACGGUUACGGAUAAUACCCGUGACUACUGACGGUACCGGAAGAAGAAGCACSGGCUAACUACGUGCCAGCAGCCGCGGUAAUACGUAGGGUGCGAGCGUUAAUCGGAAUUACUGGGCGUAAAGCGUGCGCAGGUGGUUUUGUAAGUCAGAUGUGAAAGCCCCGGGCUCAACCUGGGAACUGCGUUUGAAACUACAAGACUAGAGUGUGGCAGAGGGGGGUGGAAUUCCGCGUGUAGCAGUGAAAUGCGUAGAGAUGUGGAGGAACACCGAUGGCGAAGGCAGCCCCCUGGGUUAACACUGACACUCAGGCACGAAAGCAUGGGGAGCAAACAGGAUUAGAUACCCUGGUAGUCCAUGCCCUAAACGAUGUCAACUAGUUGUCGGGCCUUUACGGGCUUGGUAACGUAGCUAACGCGUGAAGUUGACCGCCUGGGGAGUACGAUCGCAAGAUUAAAACUCAAAUGAAUUGACGGGGACCCGCACAAGCGGUGGAUUAUGUGGAUUAAUUCGAUGCAACGCGAAAAACCUUACCUACCCUUGACAUGUAUCGAAGCCCGCAGAAAAGCGGGGGUGCCCGAAAGGGAACGAUAACACAGGUGCUGCAUGGCUGUCGUCAGCUCGUGUCGUGAGAUGUUGGGUUAAGUCCCGCAACGAGCGCAACCCUUGUCAUUAAUUGCCAUCAUUUAGUUGGGCACUUUAAUGAGACUGCCGG
Molecule: ribosomal RNA, 916 nt
Filed under: uncultured bacterium
Lineage: Bacteria
Description: bacterial SSU rRNA
Rfam family: Bacterial small subunit ribosomal RNA
Source: RNAcentral